GGCUCGGUAGCUUAGUUGGUAAACCGCUCGUCUAGCAUACAAGAGUCCUGGGUUCAAGUCCCAGCCGAGCAC
Molecule: non-coding RNA, 72 nt
Organism: Aedes aegypti (yellow fever mosquito)
Lineage: Eukaryota; Metazoa; Arthropoda; Insecta; Diptera; Culicidae
Source: Rfam